This 510-nucleotide ribosomal RNA is filed under the name uncultured bacterium. RNAcentral describes it as "partial 16S ribosomal RNA". It matches the Rfam family "Bacterial small subunit ribosomal RNA", at positions 28 to 507 of the family's 1533-position model. The record is from RNAcentral.
GACGAACGCUGGUGGCGUGCUUAACACAUGCAAGUCGAACGAAGAGCGAUGGAAGCUUGCUUCUAUCAAUCUUAGUGGCGAACGGGUGAGUAACGCGUAAUCAACCUGCCCUUCAGAGGGGGACAACAGUUGGAAACGACUGCUAAUACCGCAUACGAUCUAAUCUCGGCAUCGAGGAUAGAUGAAAGGUGGCCUCUACAUGUAAGCUAUCACUGAAGGAGGGGAUUGCGUCUGAUUAGCUAGUUGGAGGGGUAACGGCCCACCAAGGCGAUGAUCAGUAGCCGGUCUGAGAGGAUGAACGGCCACAUUGGGACUGAGACACGGCCCAGACUCCUACGGGAGGCAGCAGUGGGGAAUCUUCCGCAAUGGACGAAAGUCUGACGGAGCAACGCCGCGUGAGCGAUGACGGCCUUCGGGUUGUAAAGCUCUGUUAAUCGGGACGAAAGGCCUUCUUGCGAAUAGUGAGAAGGAUUGACGGUACCGGAAUAGAAAGCCACGGCUAACUACGUG